GAUGAACGCUGGCGGCGUGCCUAAUACAUGCAAGUCGAGCGAAUGGAUUAAGAGCUUGCUCUUAUGAAGUUAGCGGCGGACGGGUGAGUAACACGUGGGUAACCUGCCCAUAAGACUGGGAUAACUCCGGGAAACCGGGGCUAAUACCGGAUAACAUUUUGAACCGCAUGGUUCGAAAUUGAAAGGCGGCUUCGGCUGUCACUUAUGGAUGGACCCGCGUCGCAUUAGCUAGUUGGUGAGGUAAAUGCUUACCAAGGCAAUGAUGGUUAGCCGGCCUGAGAGGGAGAUCGGCCACAUUGGGACUGAGACACGGUCCUGACUCCUACGGGAGGCAGCAGUGGGGAAUUUUGCACAAUGGACGAAAGUCUGAUGCAGCAACGCCGCGCGGAGGAUGAAGGUCUUCGGAUUGUAAACUUCUGUUGAUUAGAAAGAAAGAUUGGGAUGGAAUAUAUCCCAUUUAUGACGUUACUAGUCGAGAAAGCCCCGGCUAACUUCGUGCCAGCCGCCGCGGUAA
RNAcentral lists this ribosomal RNA (514 nucleotides) under uncultured bacterium. RNAcentral's name for it is "partial 16S ribosomal RNA". It matches the Rfam family "Bacterial small subunit ribosomal RNA", at positions 28 to 523 of the family's 1533-position model. The record is from RNAcentral.